CAACAACAGUACUCCAGGAACUGCUUGUUUUUGCGAGUGUGAAAGCUGUCAUUGGAUUCCAUUUAUUUUUCAAACCAGACCAUAUGCCAUCCAAUGAACCAAUUUGUUCUCUUGACUUAAUUUAUUUUAUAAUAUGACCUUCCAUCCAUUUUGUCCGUGCAUUGUGUCAGGAGUGGACAGCACUGUUCCUGUGUGUGUGAGUGUUUUAAAUAGAGAAUAAAGCUGCAAGCCACAAACAGCUGUUAUUAAGCCCCUGCCUCCUGCUGAUUUGACAGAGAAUUGGUCUAUGAACUCAAUCUACGAACAAUCUACGAACACUCCCUGUCUGAAUUGACUUUGAUUUUGAAAAGUCGCCCUAUGUUGUUGUUAUUUAGCCUCCCCUUUGCUCUUGUUUAUGUAACCAGGGUUUGAAAAUGCGUUACUGUUCAAUAAGUCGUAACAUUGUUCCUGUUUAACCAAGAAAAGAGUUCAUCUUUUCCUUAAUAGUCAAUCUUUGUCAUUCCAUGCACAGAGAUUUAUUUAAGUGAUCAUCUGUCUCUAUAUAGACGAUCUUUGUUUUCUCCGCCGACUGUUUUACUGAAGUAAGUUAAGAGAGCAGAAAACCUAUGAUUCAUCGAAAAAUUUGAAUAUUGAAGCAUGAGCCAUUCAAAAUCGCGAGUUUCGAGGAGGAGGAUCAAACCUUUGAACAUUUAAUAUUCUGGUUGUUUUUUUUGGAUAGCUCCAUGACUGGAACCAGAAGUACUGUCCGGUCUGCCACCACAUCUUCAUCCAUCCACCACCAAGAGGACCCUCACAUCGGACGUCACAGUGCGCCUGGAGUCCCUUUGACUUGACUUUGGUUGUGCACAGAAGGGUGGUGCUGAGGGCCUUACUGGUGAACCCUUUUUGGUGAUGGUGUCCCCUCGUGUGUAGUGUCUUAUUCACUCCCUUUUUGCUUUACUCUUGUGUGUGCUUGGAGUGUUAAGUUUAUACCUUCACCCCUCCCCCUCACUCACCUUAAGCACGAAGGUCCCGGCCCUGGAAAA
Gasterosteus aculeatus aculeatus (three-spined stickleback) is the source of this 1025-nucleotide long non-coding RNA. The record is from Ensembl. Lineage: Eukaryota; Metazoa; Chordata; Actinopteri; Perciformes; Gasterosteidae.